Molecule: small RNA, 29 nt
Filed under: Bombyx mori (domestic silkworm)
Lineage: Eukaryota; Metazoa; Arthropoda; Insecta; Lepidoptera; Bombycidae
Description: ovarian small RNA-5497
Source: RNAcentral
GUGAAGGAAAAACAUCAUAUUGUAAUAAC